AAGUCGUAACAAGGUUUCCGUAGGUGAACCUGCGGAAGGAUCAUUAACAAAACGUUUUCACGAACGUUUUCUUAUUUUCUUCUUUCACACUCCGUGCUAUUCAUCUCCCUAUUCUCCUCAUCGGAGGGCAGGUUGAAUCUAAUCUCUGGUUCUCAACUUGUUAAAGAGUGUUUGGUUUGCCCAGCAUUCCUUUUCAGUUGUGACCUGCCAGAGAUUAACCCCUUUACACUUUUUUCACCUUUCCAUACCCAUUCUACCAUUUCUGAUUCAACACGAUUGAAUCUUGUUUAUUUUUUCUCGAAAAAAAUAAAUCUCAUACAACUCUUAGCAAUGGAUAUCUAGGUUCUC
RNAcentral lists this unclassified non-coding RNA (348 nucleotides) under fungal sp. RNAcentral describes it as "partial internal transcribed spacer region". The stretch from base 1 to 46 matches the Rfam family "Eukaryotic small subunit ribosomal RNA", at positions 1786 to 1831 of the family's 1831-position model. The record is from RNAcentral. Lineage: Eukaryota; Fungi.